AGUGAACGCUGGCGGUAGGCCUAACACAUGCAAGUCGAACGGCAGCACAGUAAGAGCUUGCUCUUACGGGUGGCGAGUGGCGGACGGGUGAGGAAUACAUCGGAAUCUACUUUUUCGUGGGGGAUAACGUAGGGAAACUUACGCUAAUACCGCAUACGACCUACGGGUGAAAGCAGGGGAUCUUCGGACCUUGCGCGAUUGAAUGAGCCGAUGUCGGAUUAGCUAGUCGGCGGGGUAAAGGCCCACCAAGGCGACGAUCCGUAGCUGGUCUGAGAGGAUGAUCAGCCACACUGGAACUGAGACACGGUCCAGACUACUACGGGAGGCAGCAGUGGGGAAUAUUGGACAAUGGGCGCAAGCCUGAUCCAGCCAUACCGCGUGGGUGAAGAAGGCCUUCGGGUUGUAAAGCCCUUUUGUUGGGAAAGAAAAGCAGCAGGUUAAUACCCCGCUGUUCUGACGGUACCCAAAGAAUAAGCACCGGCUAACUUCGUG
This 492-nucleotide ribosomal RNA is filed under the name uncultured bacterium. RNAcentral's name for it is "partial 16S ribosomal RNA". It matches the Rfam family "Bacterial small subunit ribosomal RNA", at positions 29 to 507 of the family's 1533-position model. The record is from RNAcentral.